Molecule: transfer RNA, 71 nt
Filed under: Camelus bactrianus (Bactrian camel)
Lineage: Eukaryota; Metazoa; Chordata; Mammalia; Artiodactyla; Camelidae
Also listed under: 2 other names
Rfam family: tRNA
About the family: Transfer RNA (tRNA) molecules are approximately 80 nucleotides in length.
Source: Rfam by way of RNAcentral
GAGGGUAUAGCUCAGUGGUAGAGCAGUGCUCAGCAUGCAUGAGGUCCUGAGUUCAAGCCCCAGUACCUCCA